Molecule: unclassified non-coding RNA, 352 nt
Filed under: soil metagenome
Description: partial contains 5.8S ribosomal RNA, internal transcribed spacer 2, and large subunit ribosomal RNA
Rfam family: 5.8S ribosomal RNA (bases 1-120)
Source: RNAcentral
GAUGAAGAGCGCAGCGAAAUGCGAUAAGUAAUGUGAAUUGCAGAAUUCAGUGAAUCAUCGAAUCUUUGAACGCACAUUGCGCCCGCCAGUAUUCUGGCGGGCAUGCCUGUUCGAGCGUCAUUUCAACCCUCAGGCCCCCAGUGCCUGGUGUUGGGGAUCGGCCCAGCCUUCCUGUAAGGCCGCCGGCCCCGAAAUCUAGUGGCGGUCUCGCUGUAGUCCUCCUCUGCGUAGUAGCACAACCUCGCAGUUGGAACGCGGCGGUGGCCAUGCCGUUAAACACCCCACUUCUGAAAGUUGACCUCGGAUCAGGUAGGAAUACCCGCUGAACUUAAGCAUAUCAAUAAGCGGAGGA